AUUCCUUACAUUUGCCGACCUAUAAAACCACAUGUAUUCACAAUUCUUUGCUAUACGCAAUCCAAAAGUGAGUUCCCUUUCUCGACUUUUUUCUCUUUUACAAAAGCAAUAUCAUAGCACCAACCAGCUGAACAGCGGUGUAUGUGGUUGGACUUAUUUUUUUAAUGUGGUGUAAUCGUAGGUAAAAGUUGCAAUAGAGACGUAAAAUACGUUUUUCAUUUAAAUCGAUCACUGAAAGUGUUGUGUUUCAUUCAUUCAAGUGAAAGUCACGCAAAAUAGAUGGCAAUAAUGUCUGAGGUUGGAUCGAACGAUGUACCAACUGGAAAUGGUGAGGCGCCAGUUAAAUCGGCUAAACAAUUUUAAAAGGAGGCCAAGAAUGCAGCCAAAUUAGCCAAACUUGCUGAAAAAGAAGAAAAGAAAGCCGCUGAUACUGAGAAAAAAGCCACCAAACUAGCUAAAGAGGUAAAUAUUUUGAAUGAAUGUAUUUCGUGAAUUUUACAAAUAACAAUUCGUGACCAAGUUUGUUUUUUAUAAUUAGAGAAAGAAGGAAAAGACAAAAGACGUGAAAGAAUCGGCCGUUUUUACCGCUGGUUAAAAGGAAGACAUAUCUGGACCAUAUGCGCGUCCCAUAACCGAGGAGAAUCCAAAAGGAAAAUUUGUAAUGCUGAUACCACCGCUAAAUGUGAGCGGUUCAUUGCAUUUGGUUCAUGCAAUUACUGUAACACAUUGGCAUCGUAUGAAUGGCAAAACAACACUUUGGGUGCCGGGUCGCAACACAGGUCGCUGUCGAAAAGAAAUUGUGAACUGUCCUGUGUCGAUUGUGUAUUAUCCCUUUGUAUAUGAAUGCCAUCUGAACUGCGUUCGGCCGAAUCUGGUACCGCUUGUGUUGAUGAUGGUGAUGAGUUAUUGGGUGAUGAAUCCGACAAAUCAAUUGAUGAAACGUUAUUCGGGAAUGAAAGUGGAUUGUAAACGCCACGUCGAAAGCGAUGCACUCUGAGGUACCGGAAUGAUCGAGCUAUUGAACUUAUGAAAUUGAAAUCGGGAAUUUUUUCCGGCAACAGAGCACACAGUUGUUCCAAUGUUUCAUAACGUGAAACACUGUAAAAUUCGGGUUUUUUGCACGAUUUGUACACGGUAUCACAAUAGGCUGAUGAAACUUACAUUUCAUGCGAAUGAUUUGCCUCUUUGCUCGUACAAAUUGCGGUCAAAUUACGGGAUUCAAUUCGAACCAAACGUAUCAUUUCAUUAUCCAAAACAAUUGAAUUGGUUUUUGAGUCCAAACGACCAACUGUUGUUCCACAAUUUAAACACCUCACUUUUGAAUCGUCAAUCGUUAUAUUGUAAAAUUCUGACGGCGGACUUACUGCACCUGGAAAAGUCAGUUUUUAUUCUUCCGCACAUCAUUUCUUUGUUCAAGAGCGUUUUAGAGCAAAUUCAAUGUGAAAAGAUUUUUUUUUUUUGGGAUGCUCACUGUAGUAAGUAUGACCGGCACAUUUUUGGUGGUGAAUUGGUUCCAGACCUUCCUCAAUUGAUUCAUGUCAAUUCAUAAUUCAGUCCAUAAAAAAAUAUAAUUUAAACCAAGUGUAUUUUGAGUACCCUUUCAACAUUUUGAUAACCAUUCAUAUUUUUUUCAUUAAUAACA
Contarinia nasturtii (swede midge) is the source of this 1642-nucleotide long non-coding RNA. RefSeq lists it as uncharacterized. Lineage: Eukaryota; Metazoa; Arthropoda; Insecta; Diptera; Cecidomyiidae. The record is from RefSeq and is a predicted model, not a curated record. The transcript has 3 exons.